This 402-nucleotide ribosomal RNA is filed under the name uncultured bacterium. Its description in RNAcentral is "bacterial SSU rRNA". It matches the Rfam family "Bacterial small subunit ribosomal RNA", at positions 355 to 774 of the family's 1533-position model. The record is from RNAcentral.
UGGGGAAUUUUGCGCAAUGGGGGCAACCCUGACGCAGCAACGCCGCGUGCGGGAUGAAGGUCUUCGGAUUGUAAACCGCUUUCAGUAGGGAAUAAGUAUGAAGGUACCUACAGAAGAAGCACCGGCUAAAUACGUGCCAGCAGCCGCGGUAAUACGUAUGGUGCAAGCGUUAUCCGGAAUCAUUGGGCGUAAAGCGCGCGUAGGCGGCUUGUUAAGCAGGAAUUUAAAUCUUAGGGCUCAACCUUAAGUCGGUUCCUGAACUGGCAGGCUCGAGUGCGGUAGAGGAAGGUGGAAUUCCCAGUGUAGCGGUGAAAUGCGCAGAUAUUGGGAAGAACACCGAUGGCGAAGGCAGCCUUCUGGGCCGCCACUGACGCUGAGGCGCGAAAGCUAGGGGAGCGAACA